RNAcentral lists this transfer RNA (74 nucleotides) under Stegodyphus dumicola. Its description in RNAcentral is "tRNA-Ile". It matches the Rfam family "tRNA". From Rfam's summary of the family: Transfer RNA (tRNA) molecules are approximately 80 nucleotides in length. Lineage: Eukaryota; Metazoa; Arthropoda; Arachnida; Araneae; Eresidae. The record is from RNAcentral.
UCCCCAGUGGCGCAACAGGUUAGCGCGCCGUACUUAUAAUGCGGAGGUUGUGAGUUCGAUCCUCACCUGGGGAA